UGCGUAGGCGGUCGGCAAAGUCUGAUGUGAAAUCUUCGGGCUCAACCCGGAAACUGCAUCGGAUACUGGUCGGCUAGAGGAUUGGAGGGGGGACUGGAAUUCUCGGUGUAGCAGUGAAAUGCGUAGAUAUCGAGAGGAACACCAGUGGCGAAGGCGAGUCCCUGGACAAUUCCCGACGCUGAGGCACGAAAGCUAGGGGAGCAAACA
RNAcentral lists this ribosomal RNA (207 nucleotides) under uncultured bacterium. RNAcentral's name for it is "partial 16S ribosomal RNA". It matches the Rfam family "Bacterial small subunit ribosomal RNA", at positions 568 to 774 of the family's 1533-position model. The record is from RNAcentral.